UAAACCUCCCGACACCCUCUUCCUCUCCGCUACGCCGACCUCUCCUUCUCUUCAUCUCCCGACGCCUUCCUCUUCCCCUACCAUCACCCCAAGACAAUUCGCCAACCCCCUCUCCCGAUUCAUUGUGUCUCUCGAUUCCUUUCCUCUUCUCCUCUCUCGAUCUAGCCAUUGAUCCACCGCCGCAUCACCUCUUCUCCUCUUCUCGUUGCUGUCUCGAUCCACCAUCGCCAAUGAUCGAGGGCCACCCGAAUGGUGCCUUUCCGGUGCUCUUCCCUCCGGUGCAGCCGUCGGCAAAAGGAGAGGUCGACGCCACCUCUCUGCGGGAGGCUUGGACAGCAAUGUCAUUGGCCAGGGGAGAACCGCUGUCAUGUCUCCAUUUGCUAGAUCCAUGGUCGCGCAACCACCCAACGCCUGCGAUCGCCAGCCUUGGUUGAUACCAGCAUCACGAGGGCAUUGUCGUUCCUCAUCCGACCUCGGUUGGUCAUACUUCCGUUGCAGUCAGUUGUGCUUUCGGCGAGACUUGUCCCACGGCGUUGCAUCGCCACCCCAUCUCUACCCUAGAUCGGCAUCACAGUAGUCGAUCCUCCCUCUCCUCCCGCGACAUUGGUCCGAGUAGAAGGCUUGUUGUGUGACCUCCCAGUUGUAGCAACCCUCUUUGGUCGUUGUUUCAUCUGAUGGGCCACUGUUGUCGGCUCUCUGUCGCCUGUCGAUCUACUGCUGGAGCAAUGAUCGGCCACCGAGGAAGAGGAGCUCCACUUCGUCACAGAUUUAUCCGAGUUCUUCACCGAGCGCCUGGGAUUCUGAACUUGGGACUUUGACUCGAGACGAGCGUCUCAACAAGAGAUUAUCUAGUAUGAUCGACAGAUAAAGACGGAUAUAUCUUGACUUAUCUUUUAUGAUAUUGUCACUUUGAUAUGCAUAGUAAUUUAUAGCUAGUAGCAAUGAUCAUGUUUAGAAUUAUCCUUGGUACGUCAUUAUUUGAUACCUAUAGUAUGUUCUGUUUGUUGCCUGUUAUGUAUCCAUGUUUAUAUCUCUUGAUUA
This is a long non-coding RNA of Zingiber officinale, 1041 nucleotides long. RefSeq lists it as uncharacterized. The record is from RefSeq and is a predicted model, not a curated record. The transcript is spliced from 2 exons. Lineage: Eukaryota; Viridiplantae; Streptophyta; Magnoliopsida; Zingiberales; Zingiberaceae.